AACGAACGCUGGCGGCAUGCCUAACACAUGCAAGUCGAACGAGACCUUCGGGUCUAGUGGCGCACGGGUGCGUAACGCGUGGGAACCUGCCCUUAGGUUCGGAAUAACUCCCCGAAAGGGGUGCUAAUACCGGAUAAUGUCUUCGGACCAAAGAUUUAUCGCCUUGGGAUGGGCCCGCGUUGGAUUAGCUAGUUGGUAGGGUAAAAGCCUACCAAGGCUACGAUCCAUAGCUGGUCUGAGAGGAUGAUCAGCCACACUGGGACUGAGACAAGGCCCAGACUCCUACGGAAGGGCGCAGUGGGGAAUAUUGGACAAUGGGCGAAAGCCUGAGCCCGCCAUGCCGCGUGAGUGAUGAAGGCCUUAGGGUUGUAAAGCUCUUUUACCCGGGAUGAUAAUGACAGUACCGGGAGAAUAAGCUCCGGCUAACUCCGU
This 432-nucleotide ribosomal RNA is filed under the name uncultured bacterium. RNAcentral's name for it is "partial 16S ribosomal RNA". It matches the Rfam family "Bacterial small subunit ribosomal RNA", at positions 29 to 506 of the family's 1533-position model. The record is from RNAcentral.